Molecule: ribosomal RNA, 421 nt
Filed under: Scotophilus heathii (Greater asiatic yellow house bat)
Lineage: Eukaryota; Metazoa; Chordata; Mammalia; Chiroptera; Vespertilionidae
Description: partial 12S ribosomal RNA
Source: RNAcentral
GGGACAGGCCGUACAUCACGUAUUUAGUAACAAAUUACCCGCCAGAGAACUACUAGCAACAGCUAAAAACUCAAAGGACCUGUUCGGUGCCUCACAUCCCUCUAGAGGAGCCUGUUCUAUAAUCUAUAAACCCCGCUAUACCCGACCAACUCUUGCCAAAACAGCCUAUAUACCGCCAUCCUCAGCAAACCCUAAAAAGGACACACAGAUAAGCACAAACAUUAACAUAAAAAAGUUAGGUCAAGGUGUAGCCUAUGAGUUGGAGAGAAAUGGGCUACAUUUUCCUAUUAGGGAAAAUCUACGAAAGUUUCUGUGAAAAUCAUAAACUAAAGGUGGAUUUAGUAGUAAACUAAGAAUAUAGUGCUUAAUUGAAUUUCGGCCAUGAGGCACGCACACGCCGCCCGUCACCCUCAUUUAAGGA